CCCUGCAGAGAACAAACUUGCAAAAAUGUUCAGGGACCCAGAAAUCAAUGAUAAGGGAAAGGAUCUGGAACAGGCAAUGUAUAAUUUGCUACCUUGAAUUCUGAUAGUUCACAUAAGCAGUCUAUGCCUCAGUUUCCUUAACUGAUCUAUUUGGAUUGAUCAUAUGUCCCAGCUUGCCUGGGACAGUUUUGGUUAUGCCAAUUGUCCCAUAUAAUUAUUAAAAAUUCUGAUUUUACUCUCUAAAGUGUCCCAUUUGGGUGAUGAAUGAUAUGGUCACCCUAGUUAUGUGAUCCAAGGGUACUUUUUAUAUACUUUCAUGGGGAGAAACGAUUAAGCAUGGAGCAAUUGAGGUACAGCCAGGGGUCAAGUGCUUGGUACUCAGUGCAUUUUUAAACUAAGGUUUUGUCUGUGGAGCUAAUUUCACCAAUGAUCGUUAAAUGUCUCUUUGUAUCUUCAACAUGUUAUGAAGAUGAGAGAAUGGAGAGAGUAUAAGCUCUGGAUCUUAUCAAAUUAAUAAAGUUAAUACUACCCAGAAAGCAGGAAAACCCUCUUGUAUUACACAUUUCUUUGCAUUUUCUGGCCUCUUGAAAUCCUUAAAAACAUUUAAAAUCUUUCACAAAUAACUGAGAAACAUUGACAGUUCCACUAUAUUAUAAAAAGGUAUGGAAAAGGACAGAAAGCAAUGAUAACGAAUGCAUCAUAAUUUGGGUUUGGGUUAAGCUGGGCAUUCCUACAGCCACGCAUUUUAUUUCUAUAAAAAUACACAUAUGAAACAACUUUAAUGUCAAAUAACAAGUGAUUGGAGGAGUGAUUAUAGAGCAUCCAUACAAUGCAACAUAUUGCAGCCACUAAAAAUGAUAGCAUGCAGUUAUAUUUAUUGACAUGGAAAAGAGCUCAUAGCAUACCAUCAAGUGAAAAAAGCUAUUGCUGACAAGCAGGUGCAAUAUUAUUGUAAAUUUAUGUACAAUUACAUAAUAUAUAGUUGUAUGUGUUUACAUGGUUUAGAAAUGUCUAAAGUGUUCAUCCACAUAUUAAUAGUGAUUAUCUCUGGGUGGGGUGAUUGCAGAGGACUUUUAUUUCCUUUCUAUUUUUUAAACAAUGAACAUGUUUCCUUUUAAAAAACAUAAAACAUACAAUUUACAUGAAAUUACAAAAGGAAUUUCUCUUAAACUAUAAUUCAGAGGUUGAAAUACUUAUGCACAGAUGAUGAGAAUAGGCAUUGAUAUACGAAAGCUAAAUAGUCAGAACCUACACACAAUUAGAGCUCUUUCUACCGUCAGUAUCUGCGCCUUCCUGUAGCCCCAUUUCUUGUAACUACCCCCCCAACACCACCAAGAAAAAACAGACCCUAAAUGUAGCACCACAAUUCCUGUGGUGCCAGUCUUAAAAAAGGUGCCAAAUGGCCCCGUCCCCUGAUUUAAUACCUUUGUGCAAACCUGUCCCAUCUCAUGUGAGCUGGACUUGGUGACUAACUUCAGUCAAUAGAAUUAAACAGAAAUCACAUGCGUAAAAUAGAAACUAGGUCAUAAAAGUAGUAUGACAUCACCCGGAAUCUCUCUAUUGCUCUAGUUGUCAUGUCAAAAAACUACUUAGACAGACUAUGAAGAGAUACAUAGGGUGAGAAACGGAGGCCUUCAGCCAACAGCUGGGAGAAGCUGAGUCCCAUCAGCCAUUCAAAAGACUGCAGCCCCAGCCAAGAGUUUGAUGUAACCUCAGGAGAGACCCUGAGCCAGAACCACCUAGGAGAUGAUGAGCUCCUGGGCAAGACUGAGGUUUGUGUCAUUUUGCAUCCCCAGCACCGAGAAGAGUACCUGGCACUUAUUGGUGCGCAGACAAUGUUUACUGCAUGAUUAGAAGGUUUAACUGGAAAAACCUACUAACCUCUGGCCAACGAGCUAUACCUAGUGAUUCCAAAGUCCACAUAUAUUUACUCUGUUCUCACUGUACAAAGUAACCACUCUGAAGUCAAAAAAGCUGGGAUACAUGAAGACUGCCAUCCCUUGAGUCACUUGCCCUGUAGCUGCCACUGUUGGAAAAGGGCUUGCUUCUGUGUCCUUGUGCCCACUUUGAAAAUCCCUGGGAAGUCCUUGGAGUCAGAUGAGCAGGCCUCCGCCACUCUGCCAAAAAGUCUGUUCAAUCAGGAGUCCCCAACCCCUGAGCCAUGGACUGAUAUGGAGCUAUGGUCUGUUAGGAACUGGGCUGCCCAGGAGGAGCAAUGGUGCUUCUACAAUUUCCUUAUAGGAGGAGUGAAGAGUAAGCAUUUGGAUUGGACCAGGAUUUGGAGAACUUGUCAUGUUGCUCUACGUGCAUAUGAAAUACAUCAUUGUAACUUAGAAUGUGAAUUACAGAACAAACAUGAAAGUUAGAAAAAUAUUCUAAACAUAUUUUUAUGAUCUCUACUUGCAAUAAGGAAACUGUUAGGCUUUUCCAUCAAAGAAUAAGUGCAACAAAAACAAAAAUUUCUGGAUGGAAAAAAGGAGAUUUGAGGGGCAAGGCUAAAGCCCCCCAAACCUUCCUCAGGAUGAACACAAACCCCAUCUUUAUUUUCCUGUUGCCACUGUUCCAUGUUGCUGGGCUCUAUUCCAGCAAAAUUUUGGAAAGCGUUGCUACAGUUCUGCUCAUUUCUUUCUCACUUCAGAACAAUGAUGCCCUUUCCAGAUAAAGCAUCUUAAUUAAACAGAUGACAUUUGAACUAGACCUUGAAGAACAGGUCAGAGUUAUAUUGGGAAAGAAGUAGGAGAGGAACACCCAGAAAAUAACAUUUAUGAACAUAAAGGCACAGAAUAUAAAUGUCUCUGACAAAGACAGAAAUCAAGGGUAAAUUUUAGUGUGGCAUAGAUUAAUUCACUAACUCAAUAUAUAUAUAUUUACAUAGAGAGCAUGGAUAGAUACUAGAAAUAAAACAAUGGAUUAGACAUGGGCAACCUCAUGAUGUUUAGCAAAUAUUGUGUUCUUUAAGGCAGCAGUUCCCAACCUUUUUGGUACUAGGGACCGGUUACGUGGAAGACAAUUUUUCCACAGACUGGGAUGGGGGGACUGUUUUCAAGACAAUUCAAGCACGUUACAUUUAUGGUGCACUUUAUUUCUAUUAUUACUGCAUUGUAAUACAUAAUGAAAUAAGUACACAACUCACCAUAAUGUGGCAUCAUUGGAAGCCCUGAGCGUGCUUUCCUGCAACUAGACAGUUCCCUCUGGGGCCAAUGGGAAACAAUGACAGAUCAUCAGGCAUUAGAUUCUCAUGAGGAGCCCGCAACCUACAUCCCUCACAUGCACAGUCCACAAUAGGAUUCAUGCGCCUAUGAGAAUCUAGUGUCAUGGCUGGCAGAUAUAACAGAAGAUGGAGUUCAGGCGAUAAUGUGAGUAAGAGGGAGCGGCCAGAAAUACAGAUGAAACUUCACUCACUCACUUGCCACUCACCUCCUGGUCUGCGUCCUGGUUCCUAACGGGCCAUGGAUAGUUACAAGUCUGUGGCCCAGGGGGUUGAAGACCCCUGCCCUAGAGUACAUAUGCAGUGGAUGUUGAGAAACAGAUUAAUUCAUUAAUGCAGAGUCUUCAUAUUCCAAACAAAAGAUUUGAGGGUUUUAUCUGUUAUAACAACACUUGUGUUUCACUAAUUAUGUCAGGCACGACUCUAAUAACUUCAAAUUUAUUCACUCACCUAUUAUUAGAACAACAUUAUGAUAUAGGAAUACACUUGAUAUGUCCAUUAUACUGAUGAGGAGAUUCAGACAUAGAGUAGUUAUUUAACUUGGGUAAGGUCUUCAGAGCUAAUAAGAGGAAGAACCAGGACUUGAGCAUGGGUAGGGUGGCUUCAGAGUGGUAGUCUGGCUGUUUGUUUGUAAUCACCAAAAUGAAGCUACAGUGAUGUUUCAGUUUACAUAACAGAGUCCUGAGGCUUAAAGAUGCCAGGAAAUUAAUUUAAAGAUAUUGUAGUACGUAUCCCUGUCCAGACUAGAACUCCAGUCCAGGAGAACGCCAGUGCUCCUUCUGUUUCACAUAGAGAACACAUCAGUACUGUGACACACAGAAAGGUUUUAGUGGGAUGCUUGGUUAAGAGAAAUACGUUUACAACAAAAGAGGUGAUACUGUUGCUUGUCUUAGAAAAAUAUGGGAGACCUCAAUCAGCUGAAGUUCAACAUGUUCAAAGGUGGACAAAGUUUCUCGUUGCUCUAAGUAAGUUUAAAAUUGAGCCAAAAAGGUCUUGAUUGAUAAGGGUGGCUGAUACAUUUUUGAAUGUUUUCACUGGCAUGAUUCACAAAAUUGUAUAAAUUGUAUAGUCCCAGGCUAUCCCACCAUUAACUGCCUCAUGGGGACUGUCUCUAACUUCCCCAGGACUUGAUCCAUAGGGAAAUGCUUGCAAGAAUAAAAAGCAUUAAUGAAUUCAGGAUUCGUUUCUCACUAAACAGCAGUUUGGGGUGAUGUCACACACACACACACACACACACACACACAAAAAUGGAACAAGCCAGCCCCAUUUUCAGCAUUGCCUCAUUUAAGCUUGGCACACAAAGACAAUUGAUGCUGACUCAGAGUUAUUUCAAGAUGGAAAGAGUGUCCUGAAUUAUCACACCCCACGUAAUCCUAGCCACCCUGUAUUCCUUCUCCUUACUGUCCCAUAGGUGGGUACAUCCAUCCCAGAUAACAAGGUUUGACUCAUUUAAGGCCCUUUUCCUUCUGCACAAGAUCCUGAAAUUUUCCCUACCGUGUGUGUUUGAUGGUGCAGAAGAAAUAAUUCUCAAAAAUAAACUAGUUUAUCAUUAGAUGGAAGCAAGGUAUCACCUUUAUUAAUGAGAAAGCAGAGUUUGAAGGACAUAGUGCAUUCCUCAUGCAGCUAGACCCUCUGCUAUUGGCUCCUGCCUUUAAAUUAGAAAGCCUUACUUUUCCAUCUGCAGGUAUUGCUAUCCCUUUACAAGCCUCUGCUCCCACGGAAAGAAAAUUGUGCAACAUACGACAAAAAGCAAUAGAGGCUUCAGACUCUCCAAAAAGAAAAAGAAAUUAUGUCAAGAAUGUAGUUUAUUAUUUCCCAAUUGACUCUAAGAUUAAAUUGACUCUAAGAUUAGUCAGUAACUUUUCCAUGAUGUAAUGAGUAAUGAGACAGAGAGAAGCAGAGUGUUCCACUAAUUGAUCUCAAUCCACAAGAAAGGAAAAGUAUUUCCUCCUUCCUUCCUCCACAUUGUGUUCUCUUAGAACUGUGCUUUACUUGCCCAGGGAAAAGAACACAAGUUGAGUUUAAGAAGCCAGUUCUUCCCAUUCCAAGAUGAGGCCCCACAUCCAAUGCUAACACUACUUCUUGGAGUGAAUACACUUUAGAACUAUCAAUGAAUGAACUGAGCUGAACUUCCCCAACCCCUGUAGACUCUAAAAUGGGUCAGAAGAGCACAUUGGUUAAAACAAGUCUAAGGCUGAAAAUUUAAUCUCUAUUUGAUUUUCUGGCUUACAUUUUUUUUCUCAGUAACCUUGCCAAAAUAGCCUAGUAGGAGAUCCAUUUUGAACUUGAGUGAUAACAUAAUUAUACUCGAAUCACAAAAUGUCAAUAAUGAGAUGACCCACAUUUAAAUAACAUAUUUUUUUGCUACUAUAACAUUACUGGGCCUAUAUUAAAAUAGAAAGAUUAAAUUAUUUUGCAACUUACUUAAAGUAUAAAUAUAAUGCUUCCAAAGAAUUAAGGGCCAAAUCAUUUUUUUUCCUGAUACUUGUGAGGUAAAAUUUAACAGAUUUUAAAGUCCCCACUCAUUUAAUUUUUUGGCCACUUGGUGUCAGCUGGAAGAGUUCUCAAUACAUUGGACAAGACAGUGAUCUCUAAGCAUUUGAAAAUUGAGCUCUUUCUCAUUGGAAGGGGUGUAUUUUCUUCUUCAUGGUCUCAGAGGUUGUAUUUGUUUAACACUGAGUCUCUGAAGUUCUUCACUAUUUAAAAAAUUCCAAGAAGUUACUGUUAAAGAAAAGAUUAUCAUAGCAAUGGCAUUUAUUCUGAGAACUGGAUAAACAGCAAUCCAUCACGGCUUCUAGAAGAGUUUUCACAGAGAAAAAUAUUUUCAACCUGAUCAUUUGUAUUGCCAAAGACUGCGGCAGAAACUUAGUAUUGUGCUAAAAGAAGAUGGAUAUCUUGGUGGAGACCUUGCUGGCAUAUCAUUCAGUUCAUGCUAUUUUUAAAAAAUCUAAUAAUUGAAAUUUUAACUCAGUUGGAAAACUUUCUCACCAAGAUAUUCAUUCUGGAAUUUUUUACUAUAUCAAUAAAAUUUACUUAUAACUACUGCCUGAUAAGUCAGAAUGGAUUUGCUUGCUUUUCCACUCAUAACAUUCAAAAGCUCCUGGCUUCCAUGUCUGCUGAAUGGGGAUUCUACAAAGUAAAUGGAGUUCCCCACACUUUCUUAUGAUAAAGAAUUUUUCAGUUCUGAAAUACUAAGGCUGCUUCUCCUUCAUUUAAUUUAUCUUUCAAAUUUUUAAGACAUAUAAAAAUAUCCCUUCUUUGAGAGGGUUUCCCCUCUUAUAAGUAAUUAAGAGAUACAGAAUUAAUUUAUCACAAGAUAGUGUUGAUAGCAGGAGGGUGAGUUAGUUGAUACUUGACCCCAUGGAAAAGCUGGUUGAUAUGGUUGACUGUGUUCCCACCCAAAUCUCAUCUUGAAUUGUAUUCCCCAUAAUUCUCACAUAUUGAGGGAUGGACCUGGUGGGAGGCGACUGGAUUAUAGGAGCAGUUUCCCCCAUGCUGUUCUCGUGAUAGUGAGUUCUC
This 6727-nucleotide long non-coding RNA is filed under the name Homo sapiens (human). Its description in RNAcentral is "HSALNT0318280". The record is from RNAcentral. Lineage: Eukaryota; Metazoa; Chordata; Mammalia; Primates; Hominidae.